CUUUUCGUAACUGGCAACAUUGCGAUUUCUGGUUGACGUUUUCCUUUUGACACAUGCAUGAUGUUGUCUGUCAUUCCGCUGACAAAAUUAAAACCCACUCGUUUUCGUGUUUGUUUAAAUAAGAAAAAUAGCUAAACAUGCAUAAAAAGUGUUACGAAAGUAGAUCUAUGCGUAUUUUAAAACUGGUUAACAAAAAUAACGAGGAGAAUAACAUUAAUUCUUAUCAUGAAAACAAAGAAGACGGCGACGACGAAUUGUGCAACAGUGAUUCUAUUCUAUCAGAGAGUAACCGCAUAGUACUUACUUUUGAGAAUACUGUCUUGGAAGAAGGAACUAGUUCACAAAUAGUGCAUCAUAAUAAUCUG
Molecule: long non-coding RNA, 365 nt
Organism: Colias croceus (clouded yellow)
Lineage: Eukaryota; Metazoa; Arthropoda; Insecta; Lepidoptera; Pieridae
Exons: 3
Source: RefSeq, a predicted model, not a curated record